This 451-nucleotide ribosomal RNA is filed under the name uncultured bacterium. RNAcentral's name for it is "partial 16S ribosomal RNA". It matches the Rfam family "Bacterial small subunit ribosomal RNA", at positions 354 to 796 of the family's 1533-position model. The record is from RNAcentral.
GUGGGGAAUUUUGCGCAAUGGGGGAAACCCUGACGCAGCAACGCCGCGUGAGUGAUGAAGGCCUUCGGGUCGUAAAGCUCUGUCAGAGGGAAAGAAAUGCGGGAGGGUUAAUACCCCUUUUGCUUGACGGUACCCUCAAAGGAAGCACCGGCUAACUCCGUGCCAGCAGCCGCGGUAAUACGGAGGGUGCGAGCGUUGUUCGGAAUUAUUGGGCGUAAAGCGCGUGUAGGCGGUCUUUUAAGUCUGAUGUGAAAGCCCCGGGCUCAACCUGGGAAGUGCAUUGGAAACUGGGAGACUUGAAUACGGGAGAGGGUAGUGGAAUUCCUAGUGUAGGAGUGAAAUCCGUAGAUAUUAGGAGGAACACCGGUGGCGAAGGCGGCUACCUGGACCGAUAUUGACGCUGAGACGCGAAAGCGUGGGGAGCAAACAGGAUUAGAUACCCGAGUAGUCC